UACGUAGGGUGCGAGCGUUGUCCGGAAUUAUUGGGCGUAAAGAGCUUGUAGGCGGUUUGUCGCGUCUGCUGUGAAAAUCCGGGGCUCAACCCCGGACUUGCAGUGGGUACGGGCAGACUAGAGUGUGGUAGGGGAGACUGGAAUUCCUGGUGUAGCGGUGAAAUGCGCAGAUAUCAGGAGGAACACCGGUGGCGAAGGCGGGUCUCUGGGCCGGAACUGACGCUAAGGAGCGAAAGCGUGGGGAGCGAACAGG
Molecule: ribosomal RNA, 253 nt
Filed under: uncultured bacterium
Lineage: Bacteria
Description: partial 16S ribosomal RNA
Rfam family: Bacterial small subunit ribosomal RNA
Source: RNAcentral